This 64-nucleotide transfer RNA is filed under the name pig gut metagenome. It matches the Rfam family "tRNA", at positions 6 to 65 of the family's 71-position model. From Rfam's summary of the family: Transfer RNA (tRNA) molecules are approximately 80 nucleotides in length. Their secondary structure includes four short double-helical elements and three loops (D, anti-codon, and T loops). The record is from RNAcentral.
GAAUAGCUCAGUUGGUUAGAGCAUCUGACUGUUAAUCAGAGGGUCGCAGGUUCAAGUCCUGCUU